NCCCAGCUGACGAGUCCCAAAUAGGACGAAACGCGCAUCCUGGAU
Molecule: non-coding RNA, 45 nt
Filed under: Trichobilharzia regenti
Lineage: Eukaryota; Metazoa; Platyhelminthes; Trematoda; Strigeidida; Schistosomatidae
Source: RNAcentral